AUAUUUGCUUCAGUACCAGAUUUGCUUUACUACAUCAUGUCCUUACUCUGUACCUGUACUUGACUCCAGGGGCUGGUUUAUGGUAUUCAAGGUCAGGAAAUUUGUAGAAUGAAUUUAGAUCCUUAUGUCUGCAGAGAGAGGUAGAAGUGAUUCUAUUGCCUGUACAAUUUUGAAUCUUGUAGGACAAUAACAUUCUUGGUCCAACUUUAUCAGUGGCUGACUUGCUUGCUAAGGAGAGUAUCAAUCAGUCUAAUGUCUCUGCACUCUUUAUAGAUCUCCUGCUUUGGUGACUGAGGCAUUAUUAGAUGAUAUUGGUGUUCCAAGGCCUAGGAAAUUUAGAAUUGGCCAGGUUUUCUGAUAGAGAGAUUUUGUGGGAUUGUAGCUCUUUGAAGGAGAAUAAUGGCUUCAAGGCUGGUGUUGGCUGUCACUUUUGUGCUUGAUCUUAUUGCCUUUGCUCUUGCUGUGGCUGCUGAGCAGAGGAGGUCUACUGUAAGCAAUGCAGGCGAAAGCAAAUCAAGAACAUUACCGACAAAAUGUUUGAUCAUUUCAAAAACAAGAUAGGAAGAGCAUAUAUUAAAUUUGAGGAUGGGCAAGUUUUAGACCUCUUUUUCGUUCUUGCCUCUCAUUUCAUUUUGAAGGCCUUUUUUGUUAUGGCUUGAAGAAUAGUUUAUCAACAUUGGAUUAAUUUGAGUUGUUGAAUACAAUGGAAAAUUUUAUAAAAUGCACAUUUUCUUUGUCUA
Long non-coding RNA from Rosa chinensis, 740 nucleotides. RefSeq lists it as uncharacterized. Lineage: Eukaryota; Viridiplantae; Streptophyta; Magnoliopsida; Rosales; Rosaceae. The record is from RefSeq and is a predicted model, not a curated record. The transcript is spliced from 3 exons.